GACAGAGGGUGCAAACGUUGCUCGGAAUUACUGGGCGUAAAGCGCGUGUAGGCAGAUCGGAAAGUCGGGCGUGAAAGCCCCAGGCUCAACCUGGGAACUGCACCCGAAACUCCCGGUCUUGAGUGGUGGAGAGGGAAGUGGAAUUCCUGGUGUAGAGGUGAAAUUCGUAGAUAUCAGGAGGAACACCAGUGGCGAAGGCGGCUUCCUGGACACCAACUGACGCUGAGACGCGAAAGCGUGGGGAGCAAACAGG
This 253-nucleotide ribosomal RNA is filed under the name uncultured bacterium. RNAcentral's name for it is "partial 16S ribosomal RNA". It matches the Rfam family "Bacterial small subunit ribosomal RNA", at positions 524 to 776 of the family's 1533-position model. The record is from RNAcentral.